GUGACGUCAUCAGGAAGAAGGUUUGUCGGCGAAGAAUUAACGUGACCCCAAGAGAUGCGAGGUCCGCUCGCCGACAAGGAAGGCGUUUGUCAAAGAAAAGGCAGCAUCCUUCCAUGAUGUUGGCCAGCAAAACGACAUCAGUACCCUUGCGGAGCAAAAGAAAAAACAAGACGCCCGAUGCGAAGGUCAUUGAUCUUCUCGGGAAUCUCGGAGUGCAGGAUGAUGAAGAUGUCAAGUGGAUGUUGCAGGGUUCCAGUAUGGUAAAGGUCCGAUCAGGACGCUGGCAAAAGCCGCGAACGCUGAAGCUCCUGGACGAUGGUGUUACAAUCUGGUGUGAGUCCUUCAAAAUAUUCCGUCGAGCCAGGGAGCAACAAUCUUUUUCUAUCUCUGAGGUGGAGUGUGUACGAGAGGGCUGUCAUUCAGAGACAUUACAACGGAUGCUCCGUGCAAUACCUGAAAACCGAUGUUUGACGGUGGUCUUCAAAGGCCCGCGAAGGAACUUGGAUCUUCUCUGCCAGAACCAGAAGGAGGCUCUUCACUGGGCCCAAGGCAUUCGAACACUAAAGGAAAGGAGUGAGAACAUGAGCCAGAAGGAGAAACUUGAUCACUGGAUUCUUGGUUACCUGAGUCAGGCUGAUGUGAAUCAUGAUGAUAAAAUGAGCUAUGAUGAAGUGCAGUCAUUGCUACAGAUGAUCAACAUUGACUUGAGUGAACAGUAUGCUCGUGAACUCUUCGAGAAAUGUGAUCGUUCAGCUGACAAUCGACUUGACCAUGGAGAAAUAGAGAUUUUUUGCAAAGAGUUGUUGCGGAGGCCUGAGCUGGAUGCUGUGUUUCGGCGCUAUUCUGCCAAUAGAUGUGUCCUUUCAACCGCAGACCUGAGAGAUUUUCUAAAAGAUCAAGGGGAAGAUGCUUCAAAGACACAUGCCCAAAGCCUGAUCCACACAUAUGAACUCAAUGAAUGGGCUCAGAAGAACCAGUUUAUGACACCUAAUGGGUUCACCAUGUAUAUGCUGUCCAAAGAAAAUUCAGUAUUUGAGGCGGAACAUGCUUGGGUUUAUCAAAAUAUGAAUCAGCCCCUAUCACAUUACUUCAUCUCCUCCUCUCACAACACCUACUUGUCUGGAGACCAGCUGACUGGAGAGAGUGACGUCGAGCCAUAUAUCCGAGCCCUGAACAACGGUUGUCGCUGUGUGGAGUUGGACUGUUGGGAUGGAGAUAAAGGACAGCCAAUUAUCUACCAUGGAUACACACUCACCUCAAAAGUGUCUUUUGCUGAAGUCAUUAAGACGAUCAAUGAGUAUGCUUUUAAGGCAUCACCAUACCCUCUGAUCCUCUCCCUGGAGAACCACUGCUCUGUGGAGCAGCAAACAGUGAUGGCUCAGCACAUGCGAGCCAUUCUGGGGGACAAAUUGCUCACCAAGCCCAUUAGUGACCUUGACUACAACACGCUGCCUUCACCAGAGAAUCUCAAAGGUAAAAUCCUGGUGAAGGGGAAGAAAGAAAAGACUGUAGGGGAAUGCUCCUCCAGUUCAUCAGAGGACAGUUCCUCGGAUGAGACCAGCGAAGCUGAAAGCAACAUUAGGAAAAAGAAAGAUGGCAAGAAGUCAGAGACAACUAAUGUGUGUCGAGACCUGUCAGACUUGGUGGUGUACACCCAAAGUGUACACUUUAAAAACUUUCAACACGCUGCCUCAACCCCAGCGAGCCACAUGUCCUCAUUCUCCGAAAAUCAAGCCCUAAAGCAUGUCAGCAACUCAGGGAUGAAUUUUGUGCGUCACAAUAUCCGCCAUCUUACCAGAACAUACCCUUCAGGACAAAGGUUACAAUCUUCCAACUACAACCCUCAGUCUAUGUGGAAUGGAGGCUGUCAGUUUGUGGCUCUGAAUUUUCAAACGUCAGGGGAACCUAUGGAUCUGAACCAAGGAAAGUUCCUGCAGAAUGGCAAGUGUGGUUACAUUCUGAAACCCCCUUACAUGUGCCGGAUGAACACCACCUUUAACCCAGGGAAUGUUGGUGGAGGUCCUGGCCAUGCACCAGUCCUGCUCACUAUUAAGGGGCCUGGAUAGCGACCUCAGGAGCAUCCACACUAGAGAGAGUGUGGGGAUCCAUAUGCUCACUGCCAGGAGAUGUCCCAGAUAUUGAGAACUCAAAUUCAUCAGGAGCAUCUGGAGCAAUGUCCUCAUAGGUCACAGUAUGAGCUGUUGCAUCUAGCAGCUGAUCAACAUGACACCUCCAGAUAACAUCAUGCCCGAUCUUCAUGGUGUAUGUCAGUGGUCCUGUUUUGGACAGAAUAACACCACACUGCCACUUCUGCUUUGGAUAGCAGUAAUCCCUUGCAAGAACCUGCUGUCCAACAACAAAGUUUCUCAGACGUUGUGUUGCUGCUUUCAUUUGCCAUUUUUGUGCUACAUCCAAGUGUAGAUCAGGCUUCUAAACGUGACCUCAGUCGUCUUCCCAUGAACAGCACAGAAGGAGCUUGGCCUGUAGUACCAUGAUCAGUGUUUCUGUAGGCAUGUAGUCCUGUUAUAGCAAAGAGUGUUCGUAAGACUUCCACGGUUUUCAUGAAUGUGGCAUUAUUCACCAUGAAGACUUCUGGCCACUUUAAGUAUACAUCCACGGCGACAAGAAACAUCCUAUCUAGAAAUGGUCCCGCAUAAUCUAUGAGGAUUCUUUGCCUUGGAACAGUUGGCCACUCACCGCAUUCAGCAAGUCGUGUCAGAACUGCUUCCAAGUUGGCGAGAUGAGUCGUCAUCACGGCCUGUCAAGAUAAUAUCAUCCAGAUAGCACUGGGUGCCUGGAACGCCUUGAAGCAUCUGAUCAAUCACGCGCUGCCACACUGCAGGGGCAGACGCAAUGCCAAAGACAAGCCUAUUAUACCGAAAAAGGCCUUAGUGUGUGCUGAUUGUCAAAAAUGCCUUUAAUGUGUCAUCCAUUUCCAUUUGUAAGUAAGCCUGGGCCAAGUCAAUCUUUCGAAAAAUGUUGUCUACCCGCUAAAAAAGCAAAAAUAUCUUGUAUUUGUGGAAAUGGGUAUUGGUCAGCAUGCAAGACAGGGUUGACAGUCACUUUGAAGUCACCACAUAGUCGUAUCGCACCUGAUUUCUUGAUGACUGGUCGGGGUUGCCCAGUCUGACCAUUCGACCUCAGACAGAAUUCCUUGGUCUUCCAAGCACUUAACCGCUGUCUCCACGUUGGGACGCAAUGCAUAGGGGACGGUACAAGCUUUUAAGAAUUUUGGAGCGGCUUGGUCCUAUAUAGUAAGAUGUGCCUUGAUGUGGUUUAAUGUACCAAUGCCUCUUGAAACACUGGCACUGCAUUCUGCAGCAAUCUAUUUAAUUUUACCUGAGUGGCGACACUGGUUUCAUUUAGGCCACGCUGCAUGGACUUAUUGAAUCGCCAGUUCAGCUGUAUCAUUUGCAACCAUUCACGCCCAAAUAAUGGUCCGACACCUCGAGGACAAACAUACAAGUCAAGUAAUUUCCUUUUUCCUUCAUAUUUCACCUUUACUUAGAUUUUUCCCACUGGGGUCACUUCCUCUCCAGUGUAGGUUUUGAGAAGCACUGUUGUCUGUUUCAGUUGUAAAUUUGCAAACUUUUAUUUAUAUUAUUUCUCUGAUAUUAGUGACAAAGCCAAAUCUGUGUCCAGUUCCAUCUUUAAUUUGGUUCCCUCAAUCUCUGGGGUCACCCACUUCAUUUUCUUAUCACAGUUUGUCAUUGAAUGAAGCUCAAUAUGUGCCACAGUUGUAUCUGUGUCACUCGAAUUUGACCCACAAGUGUCUACCUCAUUUAUUUCCUUGACUUUUCUGUCAUUUUUCAUAUCUUAAUGUUUUCCCUCAUUUCGCCUCAUUUUACGCCGUCUCUGGGUGUGCCCUCUUUUGUUGCACACGUUACAGUUCUUGUCACAGAACCAACAGUCUGCUUGGUCUUGUGAAUUUGUUCCACAUAUGAAACAAGCAGGUGCCUUUGCAGGAUGUGUAGACAGAAAUUAAUUCACCAUUUUCUUUUGCAAUUCAGUGGCAUCUCUUGAUACAGUUUAAAUUACCACAGAAAUUUCCAUCACCCUUGCUAAUGUCAAGUCUUUUUCUAUAAGGAGCUGUCUUUUUUAAAUCUUUUUUUGUCCUGUCCAGCUACUCAGGCAAAUCAUAUUGUUGAUGUAGAUGCCCAUAUUUGCUGUACAGAUUUACUUUACAAAAGAGAAGUGUGGGAUACAUCUCUUUUUGCCUUAUUUGUAUUUGACUUUAUUAAACGUUGUGUCAUCCUUUUCAAUUUAUUAUCAAUUGAAUGAACUGCAAAGACAAGAUAUUUAAUGUUCGAACUGAGAAACGUCAUUUGUUUUUGCAAAUAAUCAUUAACUUAGAAUUUAAUGGCAGCAACACAUUGCAAAAAAGUUUUUACCACUGUGUUACAUGGCCUUUCCUUUUAACAACACUCAGUAAACAUUUGGGAACUGAGAAGACCAAUUUUUGAAGCUUUUCAGGUGGAUUUAUUUCCCAUUCUUGCUUGAUGUACAGCUUAAGUUGUUCAACAGUCCGGGUUCUCCGUUGUGGUAUUUUAGGCUUCAUAAUGCGCCACACAUUUUCAAUGGGAGACAAGUCUGGACUACAGGCAGGCCAGUGUAGUACCCGCACUCUUUUACUAUGAAGCCACGCUGUUGUAACAUGUGGAUUGGCAUUGUCUUGCUGAAAUAAGCAGGAGCGUCCAUGGUAACGUUGCUUGGAUGGCAACAUAUGUUGCUUCAAAACCUGUAUGUACCUUUCAGCAUUAAUGGUGCCUUCACAGAUGUGUAAGUUACCCAUGUCUUGGGCACCAAUACACCCCCAUACCAUCACAGAUGCUGGCUUUUCAACUUUGCGCCUAUAACAAUCCGGAUGGUUCUUUUCCUUUUUAGUCCGGAGGACACGACGUCCACAUUUUCCAAAAACUAUUUGAAAUGUGGACUCGUCAGACCCCAGAACACUUUUCCACUUUGCAUCAGUCCAUCUUAGAUGAGCUUGGACCCAGCGAAGCCGGCAGCGUUUCUGGGUGCUGUUGAUAGAUGGCUUUCGCUUUGCAUAGUAGAAUUUUAACUUGCACUUACAGAUGUAGCGACCAACUGUAGUUACUGACAGUGGUUUUCUGAAGUGUUCCUGAGCCCAUGUGGUGAUAUCCUUUACACAGUGAUGUUGCUUUUUGAUGCAGUACCGCCUGAGGGAUCGAAGGUCCGUAAUAUCAUCGCUUACGUGCAGUGAUUUCUCCAGAUUCUUUGAACCUUUUGAUGAUAUUACGGACUGUAGAUGGUGAAAUCCCUAAAUUCCUUGCAAUAGGUCGUUGAGAAAUGUUCUUAAACUGUUCGACAAUUUGCUCACGCAUUUGUUCACAAAGUGGAGACCUCGCCCCAUCCUUGUUUGUAAAUGACUGAGCAUUUCAUGGAAACUGCUUUUAUACCCAAUAAUGGCACCCACCUGUUCCCAAUUAGCCUGUUCACCUGUGGGAUGUUCCAAAUAAGUGUUUGAUGAGCAUUCCUCAACUUUCUCAGUCUUUUUUGCCACUUGUGCCAGCUUUUUUGAACGUGUUGCAGGCAUCAAAUUCCAAAUUAGCUAAUAUUUGCAAAAAAGAACAAAGUUUUCCGGUUCGAAUGUUAAGUAUCUUGUCUUUGGAGUCUAUUCAAUUGACUAUAGGUUGAAAAGGAUUUGCAAAUAAUUGUAUUCUGUUUUUAUUUACGAUUUACACAACGUGCUAACUUCACUGGGUUUGGGGUUUGUAUAUUAUUGUUUGGCGCAGCCGAACCGUAGCCGUCUUUGUAUGCUUUCACUAUGCAUUCCACAUAAGAGUCGGUCUCGUAGCGUGUCAAAUAAGCCGACGCUGAAUUGGCAGUGUUCUGUCAAUCUCCUGAUCUCUGCAAUGUAGUUGGAGAUGGAUUCAGUCUUUUGCUGAUUCCAGGUAUGAAAUCAGAAUUGCUCUGCUAUGACGAGAGGUGUCGGAUUAAAAUGAUCCUGCAACAAUUUUGUGAUAUCCUUGAACGAUUUCUGUGAUUUGCCAAGCAAUAUUACUCCACUCUCUCGAUAUACGUGUCCCACAUUUCCACAUUACUGUCAGAAGCUUCCACAUUUCCAAUAGCACCAGCCAUUGUUCCCUUCUGCUUACAGUCCACUUAUUUCCGACUUCCUGCCUCUUUACUUUAGGUUACGGUACUCAGAGUCUUGCCAACAUAUCACUUUUGUCGAGCAUGCUAGCAAUCCACCAUGGACAGGGAAACUUCCAUUCAAGAUUCUACACACGAUGUGUGGUCCUUAUAUCCUUCGUCGCCAAUUCUGUUGUGUUUCAGCACUUUCACAACCAAACAUCUAUAAGCACACCAUGUAAAGUUGCUAUGUCUUUUACCGGAAUGCAAAACUGUGGAGGCAUAUCACAUGGCAAGUUAAUCACCUAGCCCUGCUCUACUGUAUCAAUGCUCUGUUCACUGUAUCCUGCGCCUAACAUAAAGUAGUCCGUGAGACUCAUUCAAAUGAAAGUAGAUCAUAUUUCCUAAUGACACAACAAUAUUGGCUUAUUCUUACUUGCUCUGAUGUAAAAAAAAAAAAAAAAAACUAAACCCAUGACACUGGGACUGCAGAAGAAGGGUGGCAAAAGCAAAAGGGUCUGAAUACUUAUGGCUGUGUAAUAUAUGUUUUGUUCUUUGGGGAAUUUGUUAAAUGUCUACAAUUCUGUUUUUUUCUGUCAAUAAGGGGAGUUUAAAGUGAUAAGGUAAUAAACGAAAAAGUGUCAGGCUUGUCACUGAAAGGUUGGUUACGUUUGUGUUUUCCUCUGUGUUUGUGUUUAUUUCCU
Molecule: RNA transcript, 6800 nt
Organism: Entelurus aequoreus (snake pipefish)
Lineage: Eukaryota; Metazoa; Chordata; Actinopteri; Syngnathiformes; Syngnathidae
Gene name: 1-phosphatidylinositol 4,5-bisphosphate phosphodiesterase delta-3-A-like
Exons: 15
Source: RefSeq, a predicted model, not a curated record